Molecule: ribosomal RNA, 491 nt
Filed under: uncultured bacterium
Lineage: Bacteria
Description: bacterial SSU rRNA
Rfam family: Bacterial small subunit ribosomal RNA
Source: RNAcentral
GGCGGCAGGCCUAACACAUGCAAGUCGGAACGGUAACAGGAAGAAGCUUGCUUUCUUUGCUGACGAGGUGGCGGGACGGGUGAGUAAUGUCGUAGGGAAACUGCCUGAUGGGAGGGGGAUAACUACUAGGAAACGGUAGCUAAUACCGCAUAACGUCGACAAGAACCGAAAAAGGGGGACCUUCGGGCCUCUUGCCAUCGGAUGUGCCCAGAUGGGAUUAGCUAGUAGGUGGGGUAACGGCUCACCUAGGCGACGAUCCCUAGCUGGUCUGAGAGGAUGACCAGCCACACUGGAACUGAGACACGGUCCAGACUCCUACGGGAGGCAGCAGUGGGGAAUAUUGCACAAUGGGCGCAAGCCUGAUGCAGCCAUGCCGCGUGUAUGAAGAAGGCCUUCGGGUUGUAAAGUACUUUCAGCGGGGAGGAAGGGAGUAAAGUUAAUACCUUUGCUCAUUGACGUUACCCGCAGAAGAAGCACCGGCUAACUCCGUG